UUCAGAGUCUGUGGACAAGUAAGUGUGAGAGAGCCAGGAAGCUUGAGGAGCUUGUGUUCCUGUUGUGCAUCUAUUUAUGUUGUUUCAGCAUCACGUGGGACACAGGCUGUCUUCACUGGGGCCAGUUGAGGGGCGUGGCUUGAGUUUCCCUCCUCGCCCCAAACAGAACACUGGCAGCUGAAAACCUCCAACACCGAGCUACAGUCAUGCUCAAGGUCACUCUCCACAUGCUCGGACAAGCCUCACACAUGAAGGAACCAGCAGAGGAACCCAGGGGAAGCAAUGAUUUUCCUCCAAUGGAUCACACUUUUUUCUCUCAGGACUUGAGUGACUGGUAACUUACAGUGAUAUGUAAGCUCAAUACAUAUGUAUCUCUAUCUUUUGCUAAUAAA
Molecule: long non-coding RNA, 392 nt
Organism: Sorex fumeus (smoky shrew)
Lineage: Eukaryota; Metazoa; Chordata; Mammalia; Eulipotyphla; Soricidae
Exons: 3
Source: RefSeq, a predicted model, not a curated record